RNAcentral lists this ribosomal RNA (403 nucleotides) under uncultured bacterium. RNAcentral describes it as "bacterial SSU rRNA". It matches the Rfam family "Bacterial small subunit ribosomal RNA", at positions 917 to 1322 of the family's 1533-position model. The record is from RNAcentral.
GGGCCCGCACAAGCGGUGGAGUAUGUGGUUUAAUUCGAUGCAACGCGAAGAACCUUACCAGGGUUUGACAUCCUGCGAAUCUCUUGGAAACAGGAGAGUGCCUUCGGGAACGCAGUGACAGGUGGUGCAUGGCUGUCGUCAGCUCGUGUCGUGAGAUGUUGGGUUAAGUCCCGCAACGAGCGCAACCCACGUCUUUAGUUGCCAGCAUUUAGUUGGGCACUCUAGAGAGACUGCCGGUGAUAAACCGGAGGAAGGCGGGGAUGACGUCAAGUCCUCAUGGCCCUUAUGGGCUGGGCUACACACGUGCUACAAUGGCAGUGACAGAGGGACGCUACCAGGUGACUGGAUGCAAAUCUCAAAAAGCUGUCUCAGUUCGGAUUGUUGUCUGCAACUCGACAACAUG